Molecule: ribosomal RNA, 468 nt
Filed under: uncultured bacterium
Lineage: Bacteria
Description: partial 16S ribosomal RNA
Rfam family: Bacterial small subunit ribosomal RNA
Source: RNAcentral
GACGAACGCUGGCGGCGUGCUUAACACAUGCAAGUCGAACGGAAAGGCCCUGCUUUUGUGGGGUGCUCGAGUGGCGAACGGGUGAGUAACACGUGAGUAACCUGCCCUUGACUUUGGGAUAACUUCAGGAAACUGGGGCUAAUACCGGAUAGGAGCUCCUGCUGCAUGGUGGGGGUUGGAAAGUUUCGGCGGUUGGGGAUGGACUCGCGGCUUAUCAGCUUGUUGGUGGGGUAGUGGCUUACCAAGGCUUUGACGGGUAGCCGGCCUGAGAGGGUGACCGGCCACAUUGGGACUGAGAUACGGCCAAGACUCCUACGGGAGGCAGCAGUGGGGAAUAUUGCACAAUGGGCGGAAGCCUGAUGCAGCAACGCCGCGUGCGGGAUGACGGCCUUCGGGUUGUAAACCGCUUUCGCCUGUGACGAAGCGUGAGUGACGGUAAUGGGUAAAGAAGCACCGGCUAACUACGUG